GGGCCGGUAGCUCAGCCUGGAAGAGUGCUCGGCUUGCAACCGAGAGGUCCCGGGUUCAAAUCCCGGCCGGUCCA
RNAcentral lists this transfer RNA (74 nucleotides) under Sulfolobus sp. RNAcentral's name for it is "tRNA-Ala". It matches the Rfam family "tRNA". From Rfam's summary of the family: Transfer RNA (tRNA) molecules are approximately 80 nucleotides in length. RNAcentral also lists the same sequence under 21 other names. The record is from RNAcentral. Lineage: Archaea; Thermoproteati; Thermoproteota; Thermoprotei; Sulfolobales; Sulfolobaceae.